AAUUAUAUAGUCUAAAGGAUAUUAAAUUGCAAAUUUAAAGGUGAAUUUAAUUCUAUAAUUU
Molecule: transfer RNA, 61 nt
Filed under: Aegorhinus superciliosus
Lineage: Eukaryota; Metazoa; Arthropoda; Insecta; Coleoptera; Curculionidae
Description: tRNA-Cys
Rfam family: tRNA
About the family: Transfer RNA (tRNA) molecules are approximately 80 nucleotides in length. Their secondary structure includes four short double-helical elements and three loops (D, anti-codon, and T loops). Further hydrogen bonds mediate the characteristic L-shaped molecular structure. tRNAs have two regions of fundamental functional importance: the anti-codon, which is responsible for specific mRNA codon recognition, and the 3' end, to which the tRNAs corresponding amino acid is attached (by aminoacyl-tRNA synthetases). tRNAs cope with the degeneracy of the genetic code in two manners: having more than one tRNA (with a specific anti-codon) for a particular amino acid; and 'wobble' base-pairing, i.e. permitting non-standard base-pairing at the 3rd anti-codon position.
Source: RNAcentral